CCUACGGGUGACAGCAGUGAGGAAUAUUGGUCAAUGGACGCAAGUCUGAACCAGCCAUGCCGCGUGCAGGAAGACGGCUCUAUGAGUUGUAAACUGCUUUUGUACGAGGGUAAACGCAGAUACGCGUAUCUGUCUGAAAGUAUCGUACGAAUAAGGAUCGGCUAACUCCGUGCCAGCAGCCGCGGUAAUACGGAGGAUUCAAGCGUUAUCCGGAUUUAUUGGGUUUAAAGGGUGCGUAGGCGGUCGGAUAAGUUAGAGGUGAAAUCCCGAGGCUCAACUUCGGAAUUGCCUCUGAUACUGGUCGGCUAGAGAGUAGUUGCGGUAGGUGGAAUGUAAGGUGUAGCGGUGAAAUGCUUAGAGAUCAUACAGAACACCGAUUGCGAAGGCAGCUUACCAAGCUACUUCUGACGUUGAGGCACGAAAGCGUGGGUAGCAAACAGGAUUAGAUACCCCAGUAGUC
Molecule: ribosomal RNA, 460 nt
Filed under: uncultured bacterium
Lineage: Bacteria
Description: partial 16S ribosomal RNA
Rfam family: Bacterial small subunit ribosomal RNA
Source: RNAcentral